This 465-nucleotide ribosomal RNA is filed under the name Vreelandella stevensii. RNAcentral's name for it is "partial 16S ribosomal RNA". It matches the Rfam family "Bacterial small subunit ribosomal RNA", at positions 338 to 795 of the family's 1533-position model. The record is from RNAcentral. Lineage: Bacteria; Pseudomonadati; Pseudomonadota; Gammaproteobacteria; Oceanospirillales; Halomonadaceae.
CCUACGGGCGGCUGCAGUGGGGAAUAUUGGACAAUGGGGGCAACCCUGAUCCAGCCAUGCCGCGUGUGUGAAGAAGGCCCUCGGGUUGUAAAGCACUUUCAGUGAGGAAGAACGCCUGGUGGUUAAUACCCUUCAGGAAAGACAUCACUCACAGAAGAAGCACCGGCUAACUCCGUGCCAGCAGCCGCGGUAAUACGGAGGGUGCGAGCGUUAAUCGGAAUUACUGGGCGUAAAGCGCGCGUAGGUGGCUUGAUAAGCCGGUUGUGAAAGCCCCGGGCUCAACCUGGGAACGGCAUCCGGAACUGUCAAGCUAGAGUGCAGGAGAGGAAGGUAGAAUUCCUGGUGUAGCGGUGAAAUGCGUAGAGAUCGGGAGGAAUACCAGUGGCGAAGGCGGCCUUCUGGACUGACACUGACACUGAGGUGCGAAAGCGUGGGUAGCAAACAGGAUUAGAUACCCGGGUAGUC